This 283-nucleotide ribosomal RNA is filed under the name uncultured Eubacteriales bacterium. RNAcentral describes it as "uncultured Clostridiales bacterium partial 16S ribosomal RNA". The stretch from base 43 to 283 matches the Rfam family "Bacterial small subunit ribosomal RNA", at positions 100 to 339 of the family's 1533-position model. Lineage: Bacteria; Bacillati; Bacillota; Clostridia; Eubacteriales. The record is from RNAcentral.
CUUUAAUGAAGUUUUCGGAUGGAUUUAGAACAGCUUAGUGGCGGACGGGUGAGUAACGCGUGGGUAACCUGCCUCACACAGGGGGAUAACACUUGGAAACAGGUGCUAAUACCGCAUAAGACCACAGGGGUGCAUGCUCCAGGGGUCAAAGGAGCAAUCCGGUGAAGGGUGCGUUCGCGUCCAAUUAGCUAGUUGGUGAGGUAACGGCCCACCAAGCCGACGAUCGGUAGCCGACCUGAGAGGUUGAACGGCCACAUUGGGACUGAGACACGGCCCAGACUCC